AGUCUCUUCUUGUGUUAGUUGAUAGCAUUCAAAUGUGUUUUUAGCAAUUUGCAUAAUCUUUUGAGAACAUUUGAAUGUGUUUAAAUGACUUUCAAGUUCUGAUGUGAGUUUGAUAUUCACUUAUGCUUCCCAAUUAAUACCAAUCCAAACUUAAAUCCAAAGAUAUAGAUAAAAAAAGAAAAGAAAAUGAUAAGGAGUAGAGGAUCAUCUAAUACUAUAUAUCAGAAAGGUGUAGGUAUAAAAUGUUCUUCAUGAAUCGUAUUUUUGGUGUGUGUAAAUUUCUCUUUGUCCACAUAAGAAAAAGAAAGAGGGAUUGAAGAAGAAGAGAAUGCUAGUUUCUUCCACUCUGUUUAUCAAACAGUGCAUAAUAAUCUAUAUAAGUGUUAGGAAAAAAAAUGGGUGUGUUUGCAAAAUAGUCACUUUUUCAAACUUAAUUAGGAAAAUAGUCACUUUACUAUUCAUAAUUUGCAAAAUAGUCACUUUUCACUGUUUGAUUCGUACACUUGGAUUGUACAUCACUUUUAGUGUACAAAUAUAAAAUGUACGCUGUGUAUUUUUAUAUAUAUUUGUACACUAAAAGUGAUGUACAAUCCAAGUGUACAAAUCAAACAGUGAAAAAGUGACUAUUUUGCAAAUUAUGAAUAGUAAAGUGACUACUUUUCCAAUUAAGUUUAAAAAAGUGACUAAAUAGCAACUUAAGCCAAAAAAAAUCUAUGUUCAAGCACAAUGUUUUGAGAAUUUAGGGUAAUGACUUUCAAGUUGAGAUACGAGUUUGGAAUUCACUUUUAACAAUAUGUUCUUCAUGUUCUUACUUAUAAUUUACCUUACUCAAUAAUAAUAAACAUAUUUAUUUAUUUUUGUCAUUUAUUCACUUCAAUAAAAAUUUAUUUAUAUUGGCACCUGAUCUGAUUAAUUAAGUAAAUCAAUUAAGAAAAAAAAAACUAAAAAAA
Molecule: small RNA, 950 nt
Filed under: Arabidopsis thaliana (thale cress)
Lineage: Eukaryota; Viridiplantae; Streptophyta; Magnoliopsida; Brassicales; Brassicaceae
Description: ATSL123360
Rfam family: mir-5014 microRNA precursor family (bases 490-609)
Source: RNAcentral